CUCUCUCCACCCUAGUAGUGUGUUUCUGAUAAGGAACUGGGCACUAGCAUACUUCGCCCUUUUCCCUCCUUCUUGUUUCUUAGGAGGAAAGCUACCCAAAGGAAGCUUCCAUUCCUCUUUGUUCCUUCUUGUUUUACGUAUUACAAGGGCAGGCUCUGUCCUUGAGGAAGAGACAUCCGGUGGUUCAGCACUGCUAAUGACUGAGGGGGUGACUGCCUAAUUCUGAGGAGCAGUGUGAAGAAGACCGUUUGCUCACAAAUAUAAGUCAUAUAUACUACAUCAGUUUUAUCACUUAUUAAGGCCCCCAGGAGUUUCUCACCUCAAGCUAGUCCAUGCUCAGCCUCCAGCAGUUAAUCAAAAUUAUUCCUUGAGUGUUCCUACCAGUUUAUGGCUCCAGCAGCUUCUGCUCCAGUGUGUUCAGCCUUGAAGACUCAGAGGUGAGCACCACAGAGGUUCUGGUUCUCAGAGCCCACAUUCCAUCGCCGGAGGCAAGAUUAUAAACUAAGAUGGAUGAGAGGCACACCCUGAGAAGUACGUGAGUAGUGAAGUGUUGGAAGUGCUGUGUGACUGGUGGAGGGUGGGAAGCAUUCUGUAGGGUGGAGGAGCCUUAGGGGUGGUGGAAAGGCCUGGGAGGCUUCAGAGAAGGUAACAGUUGAGAUGGAUUUUGAAAGACUGAAAAGGAAUUUAUCAACAGAAAAAGACAGAAUAGUGUGGGUGGUUUUGAGGAGAGAGGUUUAACCCAACAUUUUGGCUCUAGA
RNAcentral lists this long non-coding RNA (758 nucleotides) under Equus caballus (horse). RNAcentral describes it as "lncRNA (ENSECAG00000044296.1)". Lineage: Eukaryota; Metazoa; Chordata; Mammalia; Perissodactyla; Equidae. The record is from RNAcentral.